GGGAGGGGUGAUACUUGGACAGUUCAGAGCAGUGCUCUGUCCAUCACUGACCCUUCCUAUAGCAUCCCUGCUUUCUGAUGACCGCAGCGGAUUGAGGGAAACCGCUACGGACAGGUACGGAGCAGACAAUG
Molecule: non-coding RNA, 131 nt
Organism: Scleropages formosus (Asian bonytongue)
Lineage: Eukaryota; Metazoa; Chordata; Actinopteri; Osteoglossiformes; Osteoglossidae
Gene: SCARNA8
Product: small Cajal body-specific RNA 8
Source: Ensembl